AUUGAACGCUGGCGGCAGGCCUAACACAUGCAAGUCGAGCGGAUGAAGGGAGCUUGCUCCUGGAUUCAGCGGCGGACGGGUGAGUAAUGCCUAGGAAUCUGCCUGGUAGUGGGGGAUAACGUCCGGACACGGGCGCUAAUACCGCAUACGUCCUGAGGGAGAAAGUGGGGGAUCUUCGGACCUCACGCUAUCAGAUGAGCCUAGGUCGGAUUAGCUAGUUGGUGGGGUAAAGGCCUACCAAGGCGACGAUCCGUAACUGGUCUGAGAGGAUGAUCAGUCACACUGGAACUGAGACACGGUCCAGACUCCUACGGGAGGCAGCAGUGGGGAAUAUUGGACAAUGGGCGAAAGCCUGAUCCAGCCAUGCCGCGUGUGUGAAGAAGGUCUUCGGAUUGUAAAGCACUUUAAGUUGGGAGGAAGGGCAGUAAGUUAAUACCUUGCUGUUUUGACGUUACCAACAGAAUAAGCACCGGCUGACUUCGUG
This 484-nucleotide ribosomal RNA is filed under the name uncultured bacterium. RNAcentral's name for it is "partial 16S ribosomal RNA". It matches the Rfam family "Bacterial small subunit ribosomal RNA", at positions 30 to 507 of the family's 1533-position model. The record is from RNAcentral.